This 253-nucleotide ribosomal RNA is filed under the name uncultured bacterium. RNAcentral describes it as "partial 16S ribosomal RNA". It matches the Rfam family "Bacterial small subunit ribosomal RNA", at positions 524 to 776 of the family's 1533-position model. The record is from RNAcentral.
UACGUAGGGGGCAAGCGUUGUCCGGAUUUACUGGGCGUAAAGCGCGUGUAGGCGGGCGACUAAGUCGGAUGUGAAAUCCCUGGGCUCAACCUAGGAACUGCAUUCGAAACUGGUCACCUAGAGUGAUGGAGAGGAAAGCGGAAUUCCCGGUGUAGAGGUGAAAUUCGUAGAUAUCGGGAGGAACACCAGUGGCGAAGGCGGCUUUCUGGACAUUUACUGACGCUGAGACGCGAAAGCGUGGGGAGCAAACAGG